GCUUGCAAAUCAGACAUCUAUGUGUCUCUUGUGAAUUCUCAUCAUUUGCCACAACACUAUUUCCUUCACCAAUACGUCGUAGGAAAGAGAGGAAUUAAAAGCACCAAACUGCUGAGAAUUUGCUAUUUAUUAAUAAUCUUCUUAUCAAAGAGCUCUUACGAACCAUUUCCUCACAUAAAGAAGAAACGAUACUGAAAUCUAGAGGGAGAAUCCAAAAAUCUACAUCCAAGGAGGUACAGCUGAUACAACUCAUGAGAAAUUUAGUUUGGAAUCCAGUUUUCAUUGUAGAUUUUUAACGCAAACAUGUAUUUGGUCAUUAACUCCGGGAGAAAGUUUGUUAUUUAUCCGAAGAGAAGGUUAAGAAAAAUAGUGCUUGUAAGAAUAUACGACUAUAUAUUGGACGACAUGAUAGUAAGCAUCAGACUCAAUAGAUUCAUCUACUUUCAGAAUCAUUUGAACCGUUCUCGUAAAAUGGGUUUACGCACGCGCAUAUAUACGCGCGUGUACACGGCUUUCAAUAUGAAUAGGUACCGACCAGAGUAUAUGCGCCUAUGCUCGCGUAUUUUCGCUGGAACACGUAUAUUUAUAAAGAAACGCACCCUUAUUUGUAUAUAUAGACCCAGGGCAUAUGCAAGCAUGAAUGCCUAUGAAGUUAUGAUUAUGGCAGCUCCUCUGUUUAUAAAUGAUCUACGUAGUAUAGAAUAUGUAUACCUAUUCAGACACUAAUCAAGCUGACAAUUGUUAAAUAUUAAUUCGAAAUAAAAUUAAAGUUCCGUUUAUAUAUUAAAGUUAAAAAUACAAAAAGAAAAUUGUUCGCUGCAGUGGAUUUUCCUUUUCAUAAUCUAAAUUGAAAAACUUGAAUUUAUAUAUUAAUACUCUAAACACGAAUGCGUUACACUGCCACGUGCUUUGGAGAAGUGAAGAGCGAGUGAAAAAGCAGGAGAGAAGUGUAAACUGUUAUGUAGAGAGGAAGUAAGUUAUUGUGCGAAGAGAAAGAAUAACGUGAAGGGAAUUACAUGGUUUAAAAGCUUGUUGAAGUUAGAAGAGAAAUGUAGUGUUUAGAGGAUAUUCAUGUCACCAACUGUUUAGUUUGUUUGUUUUUUUUGCUUUUUUUUCGUUCUUUUCUAUUCUGGACACGUUCCCUUAUCUGAAAAUACACAAGCUUAAAAACAAACAUUAAAGUUUGUGCUUAACUGCUCCAAAAUACAGAUAGGAUAUAACCAAUAUAAUAAAUACUUUGAAAUGAGUUGAGGUCAUGUUUGUUUCUACCUUACAAAUGAACACUUUAUUACAAUAGAUUAAAUAAACUUAUGCUUAUUGAAAGCUUCAUGAUAAUUUUGUUUGACCUGAGCCUUCUCCAAAUCUCAUUACUUACAGUUAAGUGUAUUUGAUAGUACCAACAAAGCUGAUAGUUUCUUUUCCAGCAUUACUGGAAGAUAUUAUUGGCAAAGAGAACACACUGAAGUAAAUUUUAAGUGAAUCAAACUGGUCUGUUUUGGAAACAAAUGUCAAAACAAACUGUACCAGAAUUCAAGGCUGCCAAAGAUUGUAGGAUCUCCUACUUGGUGGCAAUGCCUUAAAAGAUGAAAGCAUUAGCUGUUUAUAAUUGUUUUAUAGCAAUUAAAUAAAAAGCCGAGGAUCACUAGACCAGUAAUCAAAGUUUGGUUUACUUCAACUUUGUCUAACUUCCAAAGAAUGUCAGCUUAGAAUCUUCAAAAUAAUGCCUUUUUUUAAUAAAAUGCUUCGGGUCACCCAUCUAAUCUGGAUAAACUGACAAAUAAUGUAGCUUUUUUUUUUUUUUUUUUUUUUUUAGCCUCCAAAUUCAACCGGGUUGCUUCAACCUACAGACCCGGCGAGGUUGUUACUCUAUUCAAAGCUUAGAUAAUUUUAUAGAGGCAAGAAGUAAAAAAAAAAAAAAAACCCUUAAUGAAUUUUGUUUGGAGUGAAACCUAUCUAGGCUUGUAUAUUUCCCGAGUUUGGGGGCGCCGAUACAAAAUGGUGUAAUUGUUCGUCGAAUACAUUAAAUUGGUGGAUAAAAAGAAGUAAAUGACGUAUGUGUAGCGGUGUUUAUUUGAAUUUCAUGAGAAAUUUUGUAAUCGGGAUCUCGUGCAGAUGGAACGACGUCAUCUCGAAUAGGAUAGUGAGACUGAGCAGGCUGAGCCAGAAUGAAGUCUAGCAACAAAAGAAAUAACUACAGCUUUCAAUUUUUAACAUGAAACACUGCCCCCCCCCCUUUUUUUUUUUUGCACAAAUAUAUUCACACGUGUCUCUCAAACAUGAAUUCACGAAGUAGAUUGAGUGCAGGACAAAAUACCCUGUCCUAUUUGUUUUUCUGCCGUUUGAAUUCAAAUCUCGUCCAGUUUAAGUCACUUUCAUCCGGUUCGAAGUCGAUGAAAUAAAAACCUUGUCCAGAACGGUAGAUUGGCGAACAAUUCUUGGAUAGUGGGCAGGGUCUGUUGUCCGUAUUAAUACCCCCACUACUAGGUCUUUAAGGAUCUUUAGUGGGAUUCUACUAAAAACAUUUAGAUAAGUUCUCCAAUUUUGUUAGAAGUUCCUCUUUGACAGACGCCCACUACAAACGAAGGAUUUUUGUGUUGCCUUUGCCGCCCUGACUAAACAGUAAAAGAAAAAAAUUGAGGGGUAUGUAAUCUAACCCGGAAGCCUACUGUUACAAUGCGCUUAACUAUAGUUUGGCUUGUUGCUGGUUUUUUUGAAAUGCAAGAAAGCUUGUAUAACACAUUGAUCAGAAAUGUCAGUAACCAAGGGUAGUCGUUUGUUUCCUAUAAAAACAUCAGAAUUUUUUUUUCUACGUUGUGUAAUGUUACAGCAACAUUUAUUGUACUCUGUCCUCUUGCAUCUCGGGUUCGAGUCCCACCUAAAUCAACUUUACAUCUUUCAAUAGUUAAUAAAUUACGUACAAGUCUUGAGAAGCUUGUCGGCCGAAAUGUUUGAACAUCGGAUGUUGGAUAUUCCUUACGGCUGCGUUCUGAGUUCAAAUCUUGCCGUUGCCUACCUGGAUACCAGACUGAAUCUGUCAGCCGGUUGAACAUCUGGUUUUUUGGCUGUCUUUCAUGGAACCCAGUUUGUUGCCAAUAUUUGGGCCAUGCUUCUGCUUUGAAGAUAAAUUCUUUCUUUUUCGUCAACCUUGCUGAGGGAUAAAAACAAUUAUUUCACCACCAACCUUUCGGAGGGAUAAAAACAAAAUGACAGCAAGGAAUAAACGGAACAAAUCACAAGCAUCUGCUGUCCGAGUUGUACAUGCUCGUAUUUUCUUCAACCCACUUCACUGAUAUGCAAGAAUGAUAAAUCAUUAGUCAAUAGUAUAUCAAACCACCAUUUAUUGUAUUUGUUUCGCCACCCAACGAUCUCGGUUCCAAAAUCACCGAGGCUAACUCCACUUCCCAUUUCUUUGAAGUAGACGAAGUCACAUACUGAAAAAUCUCUCUUCCCCCUCUCUCAUAAUGUGUGUGUGUGUGUGAGAGAGAGAGGCAAAGAUAAAAGAACAUUCACAUCAUGGCAUCUCUAAAUAAAUGAAUGAACGUUAACUAAACAAACAAUAAUACAAUACAGUGCAUAAAUAUUGCAACCAAUCACAAAUUAACAGAAAUACCGUACCCACAAAACAUUUGCUUUACACUCUCUUUAUAAAUAACUACCUACAAACUUAUAAAUCAUUAGACUAUUUGUAAAUGUUGUCUUUAAGCUUGAAGAUUGUAAGCUUAGCUACACUCACUGAAUUAUUAGACAAAAUCUUUUGUCAUGUUUAAUGUGCAAAUGUUGUUUACAAUAUAUUUUUUUUUUCUCUCAUAAGCAACUACUGCAAAUUCCUAUUGAACGAUUUUGAGAAAUAAUAAAAAUACUUAAUAUAAAUUUUGGCAGAAAGCCACCAAUCUUCAGGGAAGGGGUAAAACGAUUACAUCAACCCGAGCUCUUGACUGAUGCAUUAUAUGACCGAAGGCAGAGUUGACAAAGGCGGGAUUUGAACUUAGAGACGGAAGAAAUGCUGGUAAGCAUUUUGUCCGACCUGCUAGCGAUUAUGCCAGCACGCUACACUUUUAAUUAUUUUACAUUUUGGCACAAGGCGAGCUAUUUAAGUCGAUUAUAACGAGCCCGGUACUUGAUAAGUGAGUUAUUUUAUCAAUUUCAAGAGGAUGGCAGAGACCUCGCUUUGAUUUGAACACUGAACGUAAAAUGGCGGAAGUAGUGCCACCAAGCAUUUUGUCCGAUGCGCUAACAAUUCUGCCAGUUCGCUGCUUCAGUAAUAAUUUUUUUUUUUCAAAUUUUGGCACAAGGCCUGUAAUUUGGCGUGGAGGAGACCAGUCGAUUACGUCAACCCUCAGUGAUCAACCGGUACAUCCCCGAAAUGUUGAAUGGCAUAGGCUGACCUCGGCGGAACUUGAUCUCAGAA
This is a long non-coding RNA of Octopus bimaculoides (California two-spot octopus), 4408 nucleotides long. RefSeq lists it as uncharacterized. Lineage: Eukaryota; Metazoa; Mollusca; Cephalopoda; Octopoda; Octopodidae. The record is from RefSeq and is a predicted model, not a curated record.